Molecule: long non-coding RNA, 243 nt
Filed under: Medicago truncatula (barrel medic)
Lineage: Eukaryota; Viridiplantae; Streptophyta; Magnoliopsida; Fabales; Fabaceae
Description: long non-coding RNA (MTRU_LNC007657)
Source: RNAcentral
AAACUAGGCUUAAUGUAAAUAAUUUAUUUUUCUUGUCAUUUAUUUUCCGCAGACUUUAGAAUGUAUCAUAGGCUUUUAUGUAAUAGUCGUAGGUGCAUGUGUGCGUGCGUGUGUAUGCCUCUCUUUAUGCUUUAUAAUUUAGGUUAAAGGUCUUUAUGGUGAUCCAACGUCACCAUGAAGUACCUACGUUUUAUUUUUAUGCUCCGUUAGUUUAAUUUUAGUCCAAUAUUCGAAAACCACAAA